Molecule: ribosomal RNA, 977 nt
Filed under: uncultured bacterium
Lineage: Bacteria
Description: bacterial SSU rRNA
Rfam family: Bacterial small subunit ribosomal RNA
Source: RNAcentral
ACUGGUUUCGAUCAGUGGAGAGUGGCGCACGGGUGAGUAACACGUAGCUUACCUGCCCCCAAGACCGGGAUAACGCCCCGAAAGGGGUGCUAAUACCGGAUAAGCUCACGGGCAACAGCAAACCGUGAGAAAAGGUUACGGCGCUUGGGGAUGGGGCUGCGGCCCAUCAGGUAGUUGGUGUGGUAACGGCGCACCAAGCCGAAGACGGGUAGGGGGCCUGAGAGGGUGACCCCCCACACUGGGACUGAGACACGGCCCAGACUCCUACGGGAGGCAGCAGUGAGGAAUAUUGCUCAAUGGGCGCAAGCCUGAAGCAGCAACGCCGCGUGGGUGAAGAGGGGUUUCGGCUCGUAAAGCCCUUUUCCAGGUGACGAGAGAGGACGGUAGCCUGGGAAUAAGCGUCGGCUAACUACGUGCCAGCAGCCGCGGUAAAACGUAGGACGCAAGCGUUAUCCGGAAUUACUGGGCGUAAAGCGCGUGUAGGCGGAAUGUUAAGUCAGUCGUGAAAGCUCCCGGCUAAACUGGGAGAGGUCGUCUGAAACUGGCAAUCUUGAGUACGGCAGAGGGAUAUGGAAUUCCGGGUGUAGUGGUGAAAUGCGUAGAUAUCCGGAGGAACACCAGUGGCGAAGGCGGUAUCCUGGGCCGAGACUGACGCUGAGACGCGAAAGCAUGGGUAGCGAACGGGAUUAGAAACCCCGGUAGUCCAUGCCGUAAACGAUGUGUACUAUGUGUUCGUGUGCCUACGGGUAUGGGAGUGCCGCAGCCAACGCGAUAAGUACACCGCCUGGGGACUACGGUCGCAAGGCUAAAACUCAAAGGAAUUGACUGGGGCCCGCACAAGCAGCGGAGCGUGUGGUUUAAUUCGAGGCUACACGAAGAAUCCUUACCUGGUCUUGACAUCCCACGAACAAACCGGAAACGGUGCGUUCUCGGGACGUGGAGACAGUGCUGCAUGCUGUCGUCAGCUCGUGUCGUGA